UAUUAUUAUUAUUAUUAUUAUUGGGGUAAGGAUCACACCAGAAUAUAGAAUACUUCAUCUAUAUUAACUACAUGCCAAGUUUCACAGCUUUAAUGUCAUAGAAUUACAUUAAUGCGUGAAAGCAUUAAAAUAUGCAUUUUUGCCGAAAAUUUCUUCCAGUAAUGAGCAUCACGAAAAACCACAAGAACCAAAUUUGUACAUUACAUUAAGCAACAAUAUUAGCAAAUAAGUUAUAAAAGGAAAUGAAAAAUACUAAAAUCAAUUUUAUGGUAAUCCUGAUGUAGAAAAAGGGAAAGAACCAAGAAGAACAAGAAGUCAAGGACCAAUCCUUAAAGAGAGAACUAAUUCUCAAGAUAUUA
Molecule: unclassified non-coding RNA, 359 nt
Filed under: Hevea brasiliensis (rubber tree)
Lineage: Eukaryota; Viridiplantae; Streptophyta; Magnoliopsida; Malpighiales; Euphorbiaceae
Source: RNAcentral